CAUACAGAAGCAGGGACAAGCAGCACUUAAUCCUACAGAAGUGAUAGCCAAUCCUAAGAUUGAGAUGAGUGUAGAGAGUUAGACUGGAAACCAUGUUUCAGAGCAGACUGUCAUGAUUCAGCUAGAGUGCCAGGAGUAAGGAUGAACAGUGGCCUAACCUAGAAGUGAGGAGUAUUAGAUUAUCCUCCAUCAUCAGUUUUAAAUUGGCCAGUACAGAAAGAGAGUCCAGACCAGAAGGAUCCACUGCAACAACCAACCAUGCUAGGGGGGAGAGGUUGGAUUGCCUUGACCCUGCAGUGAGGAAGAGUCACCCCAUAAACUGAGGCCUACCUUGAAAGAUGA
Saccostrea echinata is the source of this 342-nucleotide long non-coding RNA. RefSeq lists it as uncharacterized. Lineage: Eukaryota; Metazoa; Mollusca; Bivalvia; Ostreida; Ostreidae. The record is from RefSeq and is a predicted model, not a curated record. The transcript is spliced from 4 exons.